RNAcentral lists this transfer RNA (77 nucleotides) under Flavihumibacter sp. ZG627. Its description in RNAcentral is "tRNA-Arg". It matches the Rfam family "tRNA". Rfam says of the family: Transfer RNA (tRNA) molecules are approximately 80 nucleotides in length. The record is from RNAcentral. Lineage: Bacteria; Pseudomonadati; Bacteroidota; Chitinophagia; Chitinophagales; Chitinophagaceae.
GGCUCUGUAGCUCAACUGAAUAGAGCAUCUGACUACGGAUCAGAAGGUUUCAGGUUUGAAUCCUGACAGAGUCACUA